RNAcentral lists this ribosomal RNA (526 nucleotides) under uncultured bacterium. RNAcentral's name for it is "bacterial SSU rRNA". It matches the Rfam family "Bacterial small subunit ribosomal RNA", at positions 777 to 1304 of the family's 1533-position model. The record is from RNAcentral.
AAUAGAUACCCUGGUAGUCCACGCCGUAAACGAUGAGUGCUAAGUGUUAGAGGGUUUCCGCCCUUUAGUGCUGCAGCUAACGCAUUAAGCACUCCGCCUGGGGAGUACGGCCGCAAGGCUGAAACUCAAAGGAAUUGACGGGGGCCCGCACAAGCGGUGGAGCAUGUGAUUUAACUCGAAGCAACGCGAAGAACCUUACCAGGUCUUGACAUCCUCUGCCAACCCUAGAGAUAGGGCUUCUCCUUCGGGAGCAGAGUGACAGGUGGUGCAUGGUUGUCGUCAGCUCGUGUCGUGAGAUGUUGGGUUAAGUCCCGCAACGAGCGCAACCCUUGAUCUUAGUUGCCACCAUUAAGUUGGGCACUCUAAGGUGACUGCCGGUGACAAACCGGAGGAAGGUGGGGAUGACGUCAAAUCAUCAUGCCCCUUAUGACCUGGGCUACACACGUGCUACAAUGGACGGUCAAAGAGCUGCAAGACCGCGAGGUGGAGCUAAUCUCAUAAAACCGUUCUCAGUUCGGAUUGUAGG